AUCCUUUUGUAGUUCGUAAGCAUGAUGAUUGGGUGCUCAUGCCGCUGUGUGACAUGUGCCACCCUUAAACCUUGGUACAACGCCGGCACGUUACCCGUCUGACG
This 104-nucleotide small nucleolar RNA is filed under the name Suricata suricatta (meerkat). RNAcentral's name for it is "Small nucleolar RNA U13 (ENSSSUG00005008507.1)". It matches the Rfam family "Small nucleolar RNA U13". Lineage: Eukaryota; Metazoa; Chordata; Mammalia; Carnivora; Herpestidae. The record is from Rfam by way of RNAcentral.